CUACGGGACGCUCCAGUGAGGAAUAUUGCACAAUGGGGGGAACCCUGAUGCAGCAACGCCGCGUGGAGGAUGACGCAUUUCGGUGUGUAAACUCCUUUUAUAUGUCAAGAAAAUGACGGUAGCAUAUGAAUAAGCACCGGCUAACUCCGUGCCAGCAGCCGCGGUAAUACGGAGGGUGCAAGCGUUACUCGGAAUCACUGGGCGUAAAGGACGCGUAGGCGGGCUUGUAAGUCAGGUGUGAAAUCCUACAGCUUAACUGUAGAACUGCACUUGAAACUACGAGCCUAGAGUAUGGGAGGGGGAGACGGAAUUAGUGGUGUAGGGGUAAAAUCCGUAGAUAUCACUAGGAAUACCUAAAGCGAAGGCGAUCUCCUGGAACAUAACUGACGCUAAGGCGUGAAAGCGUGGGGAGCAAACAGGAUUAGAUACCCGAGUAGUC
This 439-nucleotide ribosomal RNA is filed under the name uncultured bacterium. RNAcentral describes it as "partial 16S ribosomal RNA". It matches the Rfam family "Bacterial small subunit ribosomal RNA", at positions 339 to 795 of the family's 1533-position model. The record is from RNAcentral.